AACGAACGCUGGCGGCAUGCCUAACACAUGCAAGUCGAACGAGACCUUCGGGCCUAGUGGCGCACGGGUGCGUAACGCGUGGGAACCUGCCCUUAGGUUCGGCAUAACUCCCCGAAAGGGGUGCUAAUACCGGAUAAUGUCUUCGGACCAAAGAUUUAUCGCCUUUGGAUGGGCCCGCGUUGGAUUAGCUAGUUGGUAGGGUAAAAGCCUACCAAGGCGACGAUCCAUAGCUGGUCUGAGAGGAUGAGCAGCCACACUGGGACUGAGACACGGCCCAGACUCCUACGGGAGGCAGCAGUGGGGAAUAUUGGAAAAUGGGCGAAAGCCUGAUCCAGCAAUGCCGCGUGAGUGAUGAAGGCCUUAGGGUUGUAAAGCUCUUUUACCCGGGAUGAUAAUGACAGUACCGGGAGAAUAAGCUCCGGCUAACUCCGUG
This 433-nucleotide ribosomal RNA is filed under the name uncultured bacterium. RNAcentral describes it as "partial 16S ribosomal RNA". It matches the Rfam family "Bacterial small subunit ribosomal RNA", at positions 29 to 507 of the family's 1533-position model. The record is from RNAcentral.